CUUUCCCUUCGGGGACAGAAUGACAGGUGGUGCAUGGUUGUCGUCAGCUCGUGUCGUGAGAUGUUGGGUUAAGUCCCGCAACGAGCGCAACCCUUAUUGUUAGUUGCCAGCAUUAAGUUGGGCACUCUAGCAAGACUGCCGGUGACAAACCGGAGGAAGGUGGGGAUGACGUCAAAUCAUCAUGCCCCUUAUGACCUGGGCUACACACGUGCUACAAUGGACGGUACAACGAGUCGCAAGACCGCGAGGUUUAGCAAAUCUCUUAAAGCCGUUCUCAGUUCGGAUUGUAGGCUGCAACUCGCCUACAUGAAGUCGGAAUCGCUAGUAAUCGCGGAUCAGCAUGCCGCGGUGAAUACGUUCCCGGGCCUUGUACACACCGCCCGUCACACCAUGAGAGUUUGUAACACCCAAAGCCGGUGGGGUAACCUUUUGGAGCCAGCCGUCUAAGGUGGGACAGAUGAUUGGGGUGAAGUCGUAACAAGGUAGCCGUAGGAGAACCUGCGGCUGGAUCACCUCCUUUCUAAGGA
RNAcentral lists this ribosomal RNA (527 nucleotides) under Ligilactobacillus animalis. RNAcentral's name for it is "bacterial SSU rRNA". It matches the Rfam family "Bacterial small subunit ribosomal RNA", at positions 1012 to 1533 of the family's 1533-position model. The record is from RNAcentral. Lineage: Bacteria; Bacillati; Bacillota; Bacilli; Lactobacillales; Lactobacillaceae.